RNAcentral lists this unclassified non-coding RNA (311 nucleotides) under Hevea brasiliensis (rubber tree). The record is from RNAcentral. Lineage: Eukaryota; Viridiplantae; Streptophyta; Magnoliopsida; Malpighiales; Euphorbiaceae.
AAGAGAAAAGAAGGAGAGGAGGAGAGAAAAGAAAAAAAUUAUAAAGAAACAAAAAUUUUAAAAAAUUAAGGUACAGAUUUUGUGUAGAUGUCGUGAGCAAGAGAAGAAGAGAAGACAAGGAUAGGAGAAUGAUAGAAAAGAAGAAAAAAAUUGCAAAGUAAAAAAAAGGGCCUGUAUAGGUGUUGUUUUGCUGCACCAUAUGAGAAGAGAAAAGGAGAAAAAGAGAGAGGAAGGAUGAGAGAAGGACAUGCCUUAGUCCUUAGGUUGUUCUUCUUUCCCUUUUUCACGCAGCCGUAGAGUCAUGGGUUGAA